Long non-coding RNA from Pan troglodytes (chimpanzee), 1677 nucleotides. RefSeq lists it as uncharacterized. Lineage: Eukaryota; Metazoa; Chordata; Mammalia; Primates; Hominidae. The record is from RefSeq and is a predicted model, not a curated record. The transcript is spliced from 6 exons.
GGCAGUGGCUGGGCAGGCAAAGUGAAGUGCAAAAUACAGGUGGCUUAAAUCUCUGAGCUCCAAUUUCCCCUUAUCUGUGAAAUGGAAGGAACCCACAUAGAUUGACUUCUCAGUUUGUGGCGAGGAUUACAUGAGCUACUAUGCUUAUAAGUGCAGUUCCUGUUCUCCUGGCUGGACCCUGACUGAUGCCAUGGGGAAAGCCCUCGGGCUCGUGGAACUUAAAUUCCAGACCAGUGGCCCUUUGUGGCUACACAUUCUCUAACCGAGGCACAACUGACCAGGCUCCAGGUGAAGCUUCUCAGCCUGGUAAGCAGAGAAGAUGAAGCCCUUGGGGCAGCCCAGCACCCACCCUUGACAAUACUCCUGCUUCAUCACAGGUCCUGUUGUGCCCAACUCAUGAUUUAUCCAGGUCACACCAGUCUGGUCUGACACAGUAAGAGGUGGGUGAGCCUUGAAAGAAAACAAGGCUCCCUGGGGGUUUCUGUAGAUGUUGCUGUGAAUUCAUAAGUCCCAAAAUUUGCAUUAUUCUCCUUUCUUCUUCCCCAACAUGUCGUCCAUCACCAAAUCCUUCUGCCUUUCCAAACAUUUGCUGACUCUGGCCCCUUUUCUUCAGGGCCACCAGGAAACACACCUUCAGGAAGCACCUUUUCUGUUCUAUCCCAAAGGGCACCAUCACAUACACUAUAAUAUGAAUCAUGACCCCCAGAGUUGUGUGGAGUUUCUGCAUCUCUCCCUCCCCACUGUGGCUACCCUCAUCCAGCAACCAUCCUGUCUCUCACUGGUAUUACCGCAGCUGAGACCCAGGUCUUAAGGAAGCUGAGACCCAGGCCAGCAGGGGCCUCACAGCUUCGAAAAAGAGGAGGGUAUAAGACUCUGGAUGAAGCUGAGAGAUCCUUCCAUGCUUGGCAACCUGAGAGACUACACAGACAUGAGCUUCAGGAGACUCCAAAGCCUCGGAUCCCCUUCUAAACUAGCACUGAAUUCUGAUUGGCUGUCUUUGCCUGCCUCAGUUUGUUCCUUUUACUGAUUGGCUAGGUUCUUCUGCCCAUGGCAGAGCCCUGCUCCAGCCACCAGAUCCUCCCACCUACCACAGUGUCACCUGGGAUUGGCUGGGCUCUGAAAGGCCAGGCUGGCUUGGCUCUUGCCAUCAUCAGAUUCUUCCUCAUUAAACAAAUGAAUCACAAUCCUAAUUAAUUUGAGCAACAGAAUUUAUAUAACUACUCCCAGCAGGAUGUCUGCUCUCAGUCAGCAGAGAGAUUAAUUCCUCUCUCUGGGAAAUUCCAGCCUUGCUGGCCAAUAAACCUUAAUGAUGACUGAAAUCUCCCAUCUGUCUCUGCUCAGGGCAGGUAACCCCUACUAAGCAGACACCCAGUUGGCUCAAGGCAGUACCCCGGGCACCGGCAGGACAAGGACAACGAUCUCCCAGCCUAGAUGUGUCCUGAGCCACAUGGAGCACACAGAUUACAGGAUCUGACUCCCAUUUGGGCCUUCCACCUCCGCUGGCCUAAGCAGUCAAGUGUCAGAGAGCACUGGACCUAACAGCUCCCUCACCAGAGCAGCUGUGAUUCCUUCUUCAUUUCCAGCAGGGAAGACCCAACAACUUCUAUAAUAUGGGAUUUCUUUUAUUCUCAUGAUAAUAAUGUUCAUUGUGGAAAAAAAAAAAUGAUAAAAUAAAAA